CUUCUUCCUUUUUUUUUCUUUUUCGUUACGUUUUCAUUUGAAUUUUGUGUGUGUGUGUGUGGGGGGAGGGGGGGGUUUCGCGAGCUCGUCUCUUAUCGCUUACUGACCAUCAGCUAAGGGCAGCGUGAUUGAUUCGAUCCAGACCGACCUUUAACCUUGGCAUUGUGCUUUGAGAGGGAAUUCUACAGCUCAAGAAAGAAAAUAAAAUUGAUUUUGGUCCCCCCCCCUCUCUCUUGGACCAGCCACUAUAUAGACAAUCAGCAAAAGUGCGGACCGUCUUCUCUUUCUUUCGCCUUGUUCCAAAAGACUCCCAAACUAUUAGAGCAAUCAAUAACACGCACUUCCCAAGGAGAAACAACAUGAAGUUUUAGGGUUCCCACAUCAGCAAGUAAUUCCACUUUCUUACCUGUCUGCGUGUUCAUAAGAGCUAACACGGGGAUGGAGUAGCUGCUAAUGGAGAGAGAGAGAGAGAGUGCUGAUCGACGCACUGUGAUUCGUCCUUUUUUUUGUUCCUCUACUUUGGUUAAUCAAGACGGUGGGCUGAUUUCCAGAGCGGCGGGGACGGUACAAACUUCAAAGUCUACGACGCUGUGGUCCGCAUCGACAUCAGUCACAGGAGCCUUUGAAAAGAAAGAGAGAGUCUUCCUUUCCAAUAUAUCUAUACAGUACCAUCUCUUUUCCAGAAAACAGUUUAAAACAAAAGAAAAAUAAUAAUAAAUGGUAAAAAGACACUGAAAACAAGAGGAAUAAAAUGCCAAACGGA
This is a long non-coding RNA of Daphnia magna, 763 nucleotides long. RefSeq lists it as uncharacterized. The record is from RefSeq and is a predicted model, not a curated record. The transcript has 3 exons. Lineage: Eukaryota; Metazoa; Arthropoda; Branchiopoda; Diplostraca; Daphniidae.